RNAcentral lists this long non-coding RNA (5015 nucleotides) under Homo sapiens (human). RNAcentral's name for it is "non-protein coding LINC02565:10". Lineage: Eukaryota; Metazoa; Chordata; Mammalia; Primates; Hominidae. The record is from RNAcentral.
GCCUGAGUAAGAAAGCGGCAGAUCCUCUGGUUUGCCAGACAUACUUUUCUGGUUGCUCACAUCUCUAGUGUCACAACAGGAGCCAGGUAAAAUAACUCAGAUUUUGGUUUCUCUGUUUUUCCUCUCCUCCUCACCCCCUCCUACUGUCUCUCUUCGCACUCCCUACCUUAUAUAUGGCAUCUGGACACUUGGGAUGAUUUGAGUCAGUUAAUGUUUGAAAUAUAAUACUGAGUUGAGCAAAAGUUCACGAGAGUGCAACCUGUUCUUGGUCCAUGAGUGCACAGGGACUGAAAUACAGCAGGAGAGAAGCAGAACUGGGAAGUAGUGGGUCUGAUAUGCCCCAGUGCUAAGGUAGCCUCUGCUGCUCUGCUGGCUUCAGUCUCAAGGAGUGGCCAGUUACCCUAGGCUGAUGCUUCCUCCAUACAGAAACCUAGGUUAUUCACAUGCCUCUUCCUAGACCUCCUUGUCCUCAGUCUUCCAAAUGAUCUGCCAAUCCUCUGAAUAACCAGCUAGGCCAUCGUCCAUGAGUUAUUGUAUAGCCUAGCCUUGGACCACUUAUCUUCCCACGUAAGGUGGGUGAUGGGGCAACACCUGAAGCUCUGACUACUGGGAAGAUUUGCCUUCAUUGCAGUCUUCUGGGUCACCCAAGAGUGUGUUGAAGUGCAGCAGCAACUCAGCCUUUUUUCUCCUACAUCAGCUGGUCCUGAAGGCCUCCCUCACAGUGAAGAAAUGGUGCUGGGGCAACAGGGGUGGAGGAUAUGUGGGCCUGGACCACCUGUUCAUGAAGCUUACAUGUGUCCUCUGAACUUGCUCAUGCCUCAUCCCUGUUGUUCCUCUUCCAUCUUUUAACCAAUUCUUUUUUUGUGUGUCUCAGAAAGAUGUGAUACUGAUAAUACUAUGCCACCUGCAAAGGCUCAAAAACCUGUGGAAAUACGUUCCAUAUUUCCUGUGUGGAGGACUUAGUAAUAGCUUGUGAAACAAAUGUUGGUACAAGUUGUCCAUAGUUGAGCUAUGUCUGGGAAAUUUGACAAGAGGUAAAAAGAGAAUUUCAGAGGGAGCCAAAAUACCUCUAGUCUUCAAGUAGGUAGGACUGGCUGAUGGCUAGAUGAUGAAGGAGGCAAAGUUUGAUUUUGCUUUCUAUAUAAUUUUGUAUUUGAAUAUUUUCAUAGUAAAAAUUAGAGAGUGCUUGCGCUUUGGAGUUCAAAAGACAGAGAUUAAAAUCCUAGCUCCACUGUCUUCCAGCUGAGUGACCUCAGGCAACUUAUUUAACCUGUCUGAGAUUCAGUUUGCUAGCUAAGAUUGUAAUGACAAGUACCUACCUCAUAGGGUUACUGUGGGGCUUACAAGACAUAUUCUUUGUAAAGUGCUUAGCUUCAUGCCUGACACAUAGGAGGCAUGAAGUGCUGAAUGAAUGAGUGGAUAACUGGUAUUAUUUUGAGCUGAUAUGUAUAGGGUACCCAGUGCAGCACCUGUUGUGAAGAAAAAGUGAAGGGGAUGAGAAAAAAGGAUCAAGAUGAGUUUUAGUACCUCAAAUGUUAGCACCUCUGCAAGCUGGAAGGUGAUAGGUACUGAGUGAUGGGCAAAGGGUGAGCCUGGUGACAUUUAUAUGUCUUACAACUCCUCUUCCCCCAACUCUCUCUCUGUGUUUGAGGUGUCACCAUCCCCAGUCUUGAUGCCCCAUCCCUCCUCAACUACUCCCUAGUUUCCUAGGGACUCCCUGAGUCCUCCCCGCCCCAUUCUUUGUCUUUUCUGCACUGAUUCAGUAUGUUUCUCCUGAUGGGAUCACCCUCCUGCCUUUCCUGCUUAUCAAAAUCCUACUCAUCCCACCUCCUCUAUUCAGCCUUCUGGGGUGAAUCACCCAUGUAAAUCUUCCUCCUUGCUACUUUGUAUCAAAUGGUCAGGCCUGCAGUUAGUACAGAAGGGGUCUCUGCUUACUUCACUUGUGUAUUUCUCAUUUUCCUCUGAAGAAUUUAGAGUGGUCAUUACAGGGCUCAAAAAAAAAAGUACUGGCUCAAUACAUGUUUGUUGAAUAAUUAUCAUUUUGUCUGUUUAAGCCUUCUCGCAAAUAAACAGGGAAGUCCCUGUGUAAUUUUCAGAGUGGCUUUGGAGACAUCAUACUACUUGCCUGAGUCUCAAUUUCAUUAUAUAUAAAAAAUGGAGUGUUGAAGUUGAUCACUGAGGUCCCUUUCAGUAAGAAAAGUACAUGAUUCUGUGAAACCUGAGGCAAGAACUCAUAGCUGUCACCCAGAUGUUUGCAUGGCUGGCUUCUUGUCAUUCAGGUCACCUAGUCACUCUAACAUAUGACCCCAGCUUUUAAUUUUAGAUAGUGAUACAUUUUGCCUCCCUCCCUUUGUUCUUUCUUUUUGUCUUUGUUUAUUGUCUGUCUCCUUGCUAAGAUGUGAAAUCCAAGAGGUCAGAGCUUAUGUUUGAUUCACAGUUGUAUCCUCAGCACCUACACCAGUGCCUGGCACAUAGUAGGUGCUCUAUAAAUAUUUGUUCAUGGAAUGAAUGAGGUCCAUUCAACUGGAUAAAGACAUUUAUACUUGAACUGUUAGUAAUCCAGACUCCUUACCACUGGAGAAGUUAUUCUAGUUCAUCCCAUUUUCUUCUAGAACCGGACAUAAUUGGCCUGGGUAAAUAGCAGGAAGUGCCACAGCACCUUCAGCUGCUUAGACAUUAUGUUUGGCAUGUGUUCUUCUUGCCUUUGCAUUAGUGCAGUGACUUCUUAAAGCCCUAGCUUCUGGAAUCACGUAUGAUGGUGACUCAGCCUUGGUGACAUCAGCCUUGUGGUGAUGAUCUGAGGAUUUGUUUAAACUUAUGCAUUCUUUGGGCCAGUCUUCUCUCCUUUUCAAGGCAGUCCAGACUGCCUUGAAAGGCAGUCAUUUAGUAAACCUUGUGGAUACCUUUUCAUCCCCACUGGCUGGUUCAUUGCACUGUCUGGUUGACAUGGUUUCCCAAAAGGUUGUUAGCUUGUUUGUAUAAUGGCUGGUUCCAUCUGCAGUGCUUCAUUAUUUUCUUUUUAAAUUUUUGUGGGUACAUAGUAGGUGUAUAUAUUUAUGGAGUACAUGAGUUUUUGUUUUUGUUUUUGUUUUUUUUUUUUUUUGAGACAGAGUCUCACUCUCGCUCUGUUGCCUAGGCUGGAAUGCAGUGGCACAAUCUCAGCUCACUGCAACCUCACCUCCUAGGUUCAGGUGACUCUCCCACCUUAGCCUCCCGAGUAGCUGGGAUUAUAGGCAUGCGCCACCAUGCCUGGGUAAUUUUUGUAUUUUUAGUAGAGACAGGGUUUCACCAUGUUGGCCAGGCUGGUCUUGGACUCCUGACCUCAGGUGAUUCACCCGCGUCGGCCUCCCAAAGCUCUGGGAUUACAGGCUUAAGCCACCGCUCCCAGCCGAGAUGUUUUGAUACAGUCAUGCAAUGCAUAAUUGUCACAUCAUGGAAGAUGGGGUCUCUAUUCCCUCAAGCACUUAUCCUUUGUGCUACAAUCAAAUUAUACCCUCUUAGUUAUUUUAAAAUGUACAAUUAAAUUAUUAUUGACUAUAGUCACCCUGUUGUGCUAUCAAAUACUAGGUCUUAUCAUUCUUUCUAACAAUUAUUUUUGUGCCCAUUAACUAUACCCUUCUUCCCCUUCCUCUCACCCCCAUCUCCCAACUACCGUUCUCAGUCUCUGCUAACCAUUCUUCUAUUCUCUAUCUUCAUGAGUUCCAUUUUUUUGAUUUUCAGAUCCCACAAAUAAGUGAGAACAUGCAAAUGUUUGUCUUUCUGUGCCUGGCUUAUUUCACUUAACCUAAUGACCUCCAGUUUCAUCCAUGUUGUUGCAAAUGAUAAGAUCUCAUUCUUUUUUAUGACUAAAUAGUACUCCAUUGUGUAUAUGUACCACAUUUUCUUUAUUGAUUCAUUUGUUUAUGAACACUUAGGUUACUUCCAAAUCUUGGCUAUUGUGAACAGUGCUGCAACAAACACGAGACUGCAGAUUUCUCUUUGAUAUACUGAUUUCCUUUCUUUUGGGUAUAUACCCAGCAGUGGGAUUGCUGGAUCAUAUGGAAGCACUAUUUUUAGUUUUUUGAGGAAUCUCCAAACUGUUCUGCAUAGUGGUUAUACUAAUUUACAUUCCCACUGACAGUGUAUGAGGGUUCUCUUCUCUCUGCAUCCUCGCCAGCAUUUGUUAUUGCCUGUCUUUUGGAUAUAAGCCAUUCUAACUGGGGUGAGAUGAUAUCUCAUUGUAGUUCUGAUUUGCUUUUCUCUGAUGGUCAGUGAUGUUGAGUGCCUUUUCAAAUGCCUGUUUGUCAUUUGUAUGUCUUCUUUUGAGAAAUGUCUAUUCAAGUCUUUUGCCCGUGUUUAAAUUGGAUCAUUAGAUUUUUUUCCUAUAGAAUGGUUGACAUCCUUAUGUAUUCUCGUUAUUAAUCUCUUGUCAGAUGAGUAGUUUGCAAAUAUUUUCUUCCACUCCAUGGGUUGUCUCUUUACUUUGUUGAUUGUUUCCUUUCCUGUGCAGUUUUUUAACUUGAUGUGAUCCCAUUUGCCAUUUUUACUUUGGUUGCCUGUGUUUGUGGGGUAUUACUCAAGAAAUUUUUGCCCAGACCAAUGUCCUGGAGAGUUUCUUCAAUAUUUUCUUGUACUAGUUUCAUAGUUUGAGGUUAUAGAUUUAAGUGUUUAAUCCAUUUUGAUUUGAUUUUUGUAUAUGGCAAGAGAUAAAGGUCUAGUUUUAUUCUACCGCAUAUGGAUAUCCAGUUUUCUCAGCUCCAGAAUAUGUUCUUGGCAUCUUUGCUGUAAAUUAGUUCAUUGUAGGCGUGUGGAUUUGUUUCCGGGUUCUCUGUUUUGUUCUGUUGGUUUAUGCAUCUAUUUUUAUGCCAGUACCAUGCUACUUUGUUACUGUAGCUCUGAAGUAUAAUUAGACGUUGGGUAAUGUGAUUCCUCCAGUCUUGUUCUUUUUGUUCAGGAUAGUUUUGGCUAUCCUGGUCUUUUGUGGUUCCAUGUAAACUUUAGGAUUGUUUUUUCAAUGUCUGUGAAUAAUGUCAUUG